ACCGAGGGGUAUGCCGCCGCUCGACUCCCUAUUCUUAUCGAAGUCGAGAGGAAAGUCCGGACUCUUUAAGGCAGCGAUCCACUGGAAACAGUGGGCUUGAAUAGGCGCAAGCCUUUCAAGACGGAGAGUGUCACAGAAAAUAUACCGCUCAACAAUCUUUGUUGAGUAAGGGUGAAAAGGCGGGGUAAAAGCCCACCGCAUGAAUGGUAACAUUCAUGGCAGGAAAAACCCAUCGCAGAGCAAGGCCAAGCGGGGACAAGGGUCGCCUUACCCAUCUCAAAUAGCCUUGAGAAGUCCCAGGUAGGCCGCACCGCUUGCCUAAGCGGAUCUCUGAAUAUAAAGAGAUAGACAGAUGGCGGCAGGUCCUAUGUUGGAUCACAGAAUCCGGCUUAUUCCCCUCGGUGCCU
Molecule: non-coding RNA, 407 nt
Organism: Methylacidiphilum infernorum V4
Lineage: Bacteria; Pseudomonadati; Verrucomicrobiota; Methylacidiphilae; Methylacidiphilales; Methylacidiphilaceae
Source: Rfam